CAUACCCGUAGAGACAGUAGGAGAGGAGGUAGAGAUAACAUACCCGUAGAGACAGUAGGAGAGGAGGUAGAGAUAACAUACCCGUAGAGACAGUAGGAGAGGAGGUAGAGAUAACAUACCCGUAGAGACAGUAGGAGAGGUAGAGAUAACAUACCCGUAGAGACAGUAGGAGAGGAGGUAGAGAUAACAUACCCGUAGAGACAGUAGGAGAGGAGGUAGAGAUAACAUACCCGUAUAGACAGUAGGAGAGGAGGUAGAGACAGUAGGAGAGGUAGAGAUAACAUACCCGUAGAGACAGUAGGAGAGGAGGUAGAGAUAACAUACCCGUAGAGACAGUAGGAGAGGAGGUAGAGAUAACAUACCCGUAGAGACAGUAGGAGAGGAGGUAGAGAUAACAUACCCGUAGAGACAGUAGGAGAGGUAGAGAUAACAUACCCGUAGAGACA
Oncorhynchus keta (chum salmon) is the source of this 446-nucleotide long non-coding RNA. RefSeq lists it as uncharacterized. NCBI's taxonomy places the organism in Eukaryota, Metazoa, Chordata, Actinopteri, Salmoniformes, Salmonidae. The transcript has 3 exons. The record is from RefSeq and is a predicted model, not a curated record.